RNAcentral lists this ribosomal RNA (332 nucleotides) under uncultured eukaryote. RNAcentral's name for it is "partial 18S ribosomal RNA". It matches the Rfam family "Eukaryotic small subunit ribosomal RNA", at positions 1470 to 1796 of the family's 1831-position model. The record is from RNAcentral.
CCCUUAGAUGUUCUGGGCUGCACACGUGCUACACUGGCAGGUUCAGCGAGCUUCAUGCCCUGAUCUGAAAGGAAUGGGAAAUCUUUUCAAAACCUGCCGUGCUUGGGAUAGAUGUUUGCAAUUAUUCAUCUUCAACGAGGAUUGCCUUGUAAGCGCACGUCAUCAGCGUGCAUUGAAUACGACCCUGUAUUCUGUACACACCGCCCGUCGCUCCUACCGAUUGGAGUUUUCGGUGAGUUGACAGGAGGAUUUUUUUGAAACUGGUUCGCCAGUGGAUUUUAGAUCCAAAUGCCAACGAAUCGAUGGCUUUAGAGGAAGGAGAAGUCGUAACA